Molecule: ribosomal RNA, 470 nt
Filed under: uncultured bacterium
Lineage: Bacteria
Description: bacterial SSU rRNA
Rfam family: Bacterial small subunit ribosomal RNA
Source: RNAcentral
ACUCCUACGGGAGGCAGCAGUAGGGAAUCUUCCGCAAUGGGCGAAAGCCUGACGGAGCAACGCCGCGUGAGUGAUGAAGGUCUUCGGAUCGUAAAACUCUGUUAUCAGGGAAGAACAAAUGUGUAAGUAACUGUGCACAUCUUGACGGUACCUGAUCAGAAAGCCACGGCUAACUACGUGCCAGCAGCCGCGGUAAUACGUAGGUGGCAAGCGUUAUCCGGAAUUAUUGGGCGUAAAGCGCGCGUAGGCGGUUUUUUAAGUCUGAUGUGAAAGCCCACGGCUCAACCGUGGAGGGUCAUUGGAAACUGGAAACUUGAGUGCAGAAGAGGAAAGUGGAAUUCCAUGUGUAGCGGUGAAAUGCGCAGAGAUAUGGAGGAACACCAGUGGCGAAGGCGACUUUCUGGUCUGUAACUGACGCUGAUGUGCGAAAGCGUGGGAUCAAACAGGAUUAGAUACCCUGGUAGCGACUG